GAUGAACGCUGGCGGCGUGCCUAAUACAUGCAAGUCGAGCGAAAAGACGAGGAGCUUGCUCCUUUGACGUUAGCGGCGGACGGGUGAGUAACACGUGGAUAACCUACCUAUAAGUCUGGGAUAACUUCGGGAAAGCGGAGAUAAUACGGGAUAAUAUAUUGAACCGCAUGGUUCGAUAGUGAGAGACGGCUUUGGGGUAACUUAUCGAUGGAUCCGCGCCGGAUUGGCUAGUUGGUAAGGUAAAGGCUUAUCACGGCGACGAUGCGUAGCCGACCUGAGAGAGUGGUCGCCCACACUGGAACUGGGACGCCGUCCAGACGCCUACGGGAGGGAGCAGUAGGGAAUCGUCCGCAAUGGGCGAAAGCCUGACGCAGCAACGCCGCGUCAGUUAUGAAGGUCUUCGGAGCGUGAUACUCUGUUAUUAGGGAAAAACAAAUGUGUAAGUAACUAUGCACGUCUUGACGGUACCGAGUCAGAAAGCCACGGCUAACUACGUG
RNAcentral lists this ribosomal RNA (497 nucleotides) under uncultured bacterium. RNAcentral's name for it is "partial 16S ribosomal RNA". It matches the Rfam family "Bacterial small subunit ribosomal RNA", at positions 28 to 507 of the family's 1533-position model. The record is from RNAcentral.